This 254-nucleotide ribosomal RNA is filed under the name uncultured bacterium. RNAcentral describes it as "partial 16S ribosomal RNA". It matches the Rfam family "Bacterial small subunit ribosomal RNA", at positions 100 to 353 of the family's 1533-position model. The record is from RNAcentral.
CACGGGUGAGUAACACGUAUCCAACCUGCCGUCUACUCUUGGACAGCCUUCUGAAAGGAAGAUUAAUACAAGAUGGCAUCAUGAGUCCGCAUGUUCACAUGAUUAAAGGUAUUCCGGUAGACGAUGGGGAUGCGUUCCAUUAGAUAGUAGGCGGGGUAACGGCCCACCUAGUCUUCGAUGGAUAGGGGUUCUGAGAGGAAGGUCCCCCACAUUGGAACUGAGACACGGUCCAAACUCCUACGGGAGGCAGCAUG